CUCAGUUCGGACUGUAGGCUGCAACUCGCCUACACGAAGUCGGAAUCGCUAGUAAUCGCGGAUCAGCAUGCCGCGGUGAAUACGUUCCCGGGCCUUGUACACACCGCCCGUCACACCAUGGGAGUUUGUAACGCCCAAAGUCGGUGGCCUAACCUUUAUGGAGGGAGCCGCCUAAGGCGGGACAGAUGGACUGGGGUGAAGUCGUAACAAGGUAGC
This 216-nucleotide ribosomal RNA is filed under the name uncultured bacterium. RNAcentral describes it as "partial 16S ribosomal RNA". It matches the Rfam family "Bacterial small subunit ribosomal RNA", at positions 1287 to 1500 of the family's 1533-position model. The record is from RNAcentral.